AGAGUUUGAUCAUGGCUCAGAUUGAACGCUGGCGGCAGGCCUAACACAUGCAAGUCGAACGGUAACAGGAAACAGCUUGCUGUUUCGCUGACGAGUGGCGGACGGGUGAGUAAUGUCUGGGAAGCUGCCUGAUGGAGGGGGAUAACUACUGGAAACGGUAGCUAAUACCGCAUAAUGUCGCAAGACCAAAGAGGGGGACCUUCGGGCCUCUUGCCAUCGGAUGUGCCCAGAUGGGAUUAGCUAGUAGGUGGGGUAACGGCUCACCUAGGCGACGAUCCCUAGCUGGUCUGAGAGGAUGACCAGCCACACUGGAACUGAGACACGGUCCAGACUCCUACGGGAGGCAGCAGUGGGGAAUAUUGCACAAUGGGCGCAAGCCUGAUGCAGCCAUGCCGCGUGUAUGAAGAAGGCCUUCGGGUUGUAAAGUACUUUCAGCGGGGAGGAAGGGAGUAAAGUUAAUACCUUUGCUCAUUGACGUUACCCGCAGAAGAAGCACCGGCUAACUCCGUGCCAGCAGCCGCGGUAAUACGGAGGGUGCAAGCGUUAAUCGGAAUUACUGGGCGUAAAGCGCACGCAGGCGGUUUGUUAAGUCAGAUGUGAAAUCCCCGGGCUCAACCUGGGAACUGCAUCUGAUACUGGCAAGCUUGAGUCUCGUAGAGGGGGGUAGAAUUCCAGGUGUAGCGGUGAAAUGCGUAGAGAUCUGGAGGAAUACCGGUGGCGAAGGCGGCCCCCUGGACGAAGACUGACGCUCAGGUGCGAAAGCGUGGGGAGCAAACAGGAUUAGAUACCCUGGUAGUCCACGCCGUAAACGAUGUCGACUUGGAGGUUGUGCCCUUGAGGCGUGGCUUCCGGAGCUAACGCGUUAAGUCGACCGCCUGGGGAGUACGGCCGCAAGGUUAAAACUCAAAUGAAUUGACGGGGGCCCGCACAAGCGGUGGAGCAUGUGGUUUAAUUCGAUGCAACGCGAAGAACCUUACCUGGUCUUGACAUCCACAGAACUUUCCAGAGAUGGAUUGGUGCCUUCGGGAACUGUGAGACAGGUGCUGCAUGGCUGUCGUCAGCUCGUGUUGUGAAAUGUUGGGUUAAGUCCCGCAACGAGCGCAACCCUUAUCCUUUGUUGCCAGCGGUCCGGCCGGG
Molecule: ribosomal RNA, 1137 nt
Filed under: Escherichia coli
Lineage: Bacteria; Pseudomonadati; Pseudomonadota; Gammaproteobacteria; Enterobacterales; Enterobacteriaceae
Description: bacterial SSU rRNA
Rfam family: Bacterial small subunit ribosomal RNA
Source: RNAcentral